GAAGAGUUUGAUCCUGGCUCAGGAUGAACGCUAGCGGCAGGCCUAACACAUGCAAGUCGAACGGUAAGGACCACUUCGGUGGUUACACGAGUGGCGCACGGGUGAGUAACGCGUAUGCAACCUACCCUUAACAGGGGGAUAGCCCGAAGAAAUUCGGAUUAAUACCCCAUAAUACUAUAAAUAAGCAUUUAUUAAUAGUAAAAACUCCGGUGGUUAAGGAUGGGCAUGCGUACCAUUAGAUAGUUGGUAAGGUAACGGCUUACCAAGUCUACGAUGGUUAGGGGGCCUGAGAGGGUGGUCCCCCACACUGGUACUGAGACACGGAAUAAUAAGUCAGUGGUGAAAUCCUGCAGCUUAACUGUAGAACUGCCAUUGAUACUGUUAUUCUUGAAUAUAGUUGAGGUAGGCGGAAUGUGUAAUGUAGCGGUGAAAUGCAUAGAUAUUACACAGAACACCGAUUGCGUAGGCAGCUUACUAAGCUAUUAUUGACGCUGAGGCACGAAAGCGUGGGGAUCGAACAGGAUUAGAUACCCUGGUAGUCCACGCUGUAAACGAUGAUCACUAGCUGUUGGCGAUACACCGAUCAGCGGCAAAGCGAAAGCAUUAAGUGAUCCACCUGGGGAGUACGGUCGCAAGAUUGAAACUCAAAGGAAUUGACGGGGGCCCGCACAAGCGGAGGAAUAUGUGGUUUAAUUCGAUGAUACGCGAGGAACCUUACCUGGGCUUAAAUGCAGGACGACGAACUGGGAAACCAGUUUUCUCUUCGGAGCGGACUGCAAGGUGCUGCAUGGUUGUCGUCAGCUCGUGCCGUGAGGUGUCGGGUUAAGUCCCAUAACGAGCGCAACCCCUAUCGUUAGUUGCCAGCGGAUCAUGCCGGGGACUCUAACGAAACUGCCGGUGUAAACCGAGAGGAAGGUGGGGAUGACGUCAAAUCAGCACGGCCCUUAUGUCCAGGGCUACACACGUGUUACAAUGGUCGGUACAGAGGGUAGCUACUAUGUAAAUAGAUGCCAAUCUCGAAAACCGGUCUUAGUUCGGAUCGAAGUCUGCAACUCGACUUCGUGAAGCUGGAUUCGCUAGUAAUCGCGCAUCAGCCACGGCGCGGUGAAUACGUUCCCGGGCCUUGUACACACCGCCCGUCAAGCCAUGGAAGCUGGGGGUACCUGAAGUCUGUAACCGCAAGGAGCGGCCUAGGGUAAAACUAGUGACUGGGGCUAAGUCGUAACAAGGUA
This 1232-nucleotide ribosomal RNA is filed under the name metagenome. RNAcentral's name for it is "bacterial SSU rRNA". It matches the Rfam family "Bacterial small subunit ribosomal RNA". The record is from RNAcentral.